AAUAUUUCACGUCGUUGACUUUUUUACACAUGUUUGACCAUUCGUCUUAUUCAAAAAAUUUAUAUAAUUAUUAACUUUUUUAUCAUUUGAUUUAUUAUUAAAUCUACUUUUAUUCAAACAUAUAGUUUUACAUAUUUCAUAAAAAUUUUUGAAUAAGACGAACGGUCAAACAUGUGUCAAAAAGUCAAUGGCGUCAAAUAUU
This 202-nucleotide microRNA precursor is filed under the name Leersia perrieri. RNAcentral describes it as "MIR812 microRNA precursor family". It matches the Rfam family "MIR812 microRNA precursor family". Lineage: Eukaryota; Viridiplantae; Streptophyta; Magnoliopsida; Poales; Poaceae. The record is from Rfam by way of RNAcentral.